This 431-nucleotide ribosomal RNA is filed under the name uncultured bacterium. Its description in RNAcentral is "partial 16S ribosomal RNA". It matches the Rfam family "Bacterial small subunit ribosomal RNA", at positions 29 to 507 of the family's 1533-position model. The record is from RNAcentral.
AUGAACGCUGGCGGUAUGCUUAACACAUGCAAGUCGAACGGUCACUUCGGUGAUAGUGGCGGACGGGUGAGUAACGCGUGAGAAUCUGUCCUCAGGUCGGGGACAACAGUUAGAAAUGACUGCUAAUACCGGAUGUGCCUUUGGGUGAAAGAUUUAUUGCCUGAAAAAGAGCUCGCGUCAGAUUAGCUAGUAGGUGGUGUAAGAGACUACCUAGGCUCCGAUCUGUAGCUGGUCUGAGAGGACGAUCAGCCACACUGGAACUGAGACACGGUCCAGACUCCUACGGGAGGCAGCAGUGGGGAAUUUUCCGCAAUGGGCGAAAGCCUGACGGAGCAAUACCGCGUGAGGGACGAAGGCUUUUGGGUCGUAAACCUCUUUUCUCAAGGAAGAUGAUGACGGUACUUGAGGAAUAAGCAGCGGCUAACUCGGUG